Long non-coding RNA from Salvelinus namaycush (lake trout), 1529 nucleotides. RefSeq lists it as uncharacterized. The transcript has 8 exons. Lineage: Eukaryota; Metazoa; Chordata; Actinopteri; Salmoniformes; Salmonidae. The record is from RefSeq and is a predicted model, not a curated record.
CUGUGCACAUUGUUCUGAAAACAUUCAAAUAACCUCAUAAAAUAACGUUAUUUUUUGGUGAAUUAGAACUUUUACAUAACAUUCCCCUGUGGUUCCCGUUUGGUUGUUGGAAGAAAAAAGUUCUGGGAACGUUCUGGAAACGUUGCAUAUCUAAGGCCGUAUUGGAUCAAACUGCUGAAAGAGAAGAUAAAGUGUUUGUGGAGCUUGCUUGGACAGUUUCCCCACCUGCACCAUCUCCAUUUUGUUCAGAAGUCUACUAGUAAAAGAUGGAGCAAUUGUGGGACACCACCACUUGUGAACACCUACUCAACCUCUAAGGUGUGUAUUGCUAAUGGACCAAAAAAGGUAACCCCAAAAAAGUUCAACUGUGAACGACCCGACAAGACAUGGAAAAUGCAACGGCCAGAAUUCUGGAGACCACAGCUGUCUCCCCGCUUUCCAAUGAUGGAUUCCAAAUGAUCGUGCUGAUGAAGCUGGAAACAAUUAUCGAGAACCAGUUGGAACUCCUAGCAAUUCAGCUGCUAGCCGCUGGAGCACAAGAUCUGCCAGACCAAGUCCUGCCUAGACCUUGAACGACCAAGGAGGAUUUGGAGGACCUCUGCAAGAGUCUGGAGGAGGCCACCACAUAACGAAAAGAGAUGGUUACAGAGAGGGUUGAAGAGGAGGUUGUGGAGGAGUGAGCCCUUGACUCCCCUGUACCAUAGACGGUGGUCAGACAAGACAAUUGUGUAAUCCGUGUGUGUGUGCCAAUCAGAUUGCAGAUGUCUGAAUUGUUGGCAAAAAUUAUAAAUGUGUUAACUGUUAAUAUAUUUUAUUUUGUACGAUUUUAUAACUUUUUCAAACAAUACAAAACAUGCACAUACCAAUUACAGCAUACAGACGCACACAAACAUCAAUGACAUAACACCUGGCCAGACCCACCUGCUCACACCUCAUCCAUCUCCAGCGCCCGCAUCACUCUCCGCCACAUGGCCUCAAACUGUACCAUUUUGUUUUACUCUGUCACCAACGCAUUUUCAACAUUUUAGAUAAUAUAGUAUUUGACUCUUCCAUUGUGUUAGUGAUGGAGGAUUGGUUGAUUUCCAGUUAAGUGUGCAUUUUUUUCAAGAUGAUUGAUGAAAGGUAUCAUUCAACCCAUCGGGUAUCUCACUGCUCACUCAUAUGCCAUGUCUUGAAAUAUUCAGACAGACGGAUUAAACUUACAUUUACAUUGUGAUACUUCUGACAGACAACUUUCUAACUCUGCCCAUAACUUUUAGACUUCAUAGCAUCCACAGAAGGCAUGGAUUAUUGUUAGUUUUACGCUUAAGACAUGACUCCGCCGUUGUGCUGUAGUAUGUGAUUUUUCUCUUUGUAUAAUACAUUCUAUACAUUAGUUUAUACUGGAUUAAGUGUACAUUUUUGUUAUUGGUGUCCCUAUAACGGGAGGUUGAGAUAAUGUAUGCUAAUGUAAUUAGCAUGCCAUUGUAAGUAACAGCAAACUUUCCAGGACAUAGACAUGUGUAAAUUCUUGUUAAUCUAACUGCGCU